This 4543-nucleotide long non-coding RNA is filed under the name Nicotiana tabacum (common tobacco). Its description in RNAcentral is "long non-coding RNA (NTAB_LNC011775)". Lineage: Eukaryota; Viridiplantae; Streptophyta; Magnoliopsida; Solanales; Solanaceae. The record is from RNAcentral.
CAAUUCAUACUACUACUGCAUAUAUAUACACACACGAAAAAUAGAGGGACGGGGGUGAGAGCAAAUUGGGGAUAACAGAUCUGGUAAAAUGAAAAGGGAAAUGGGAGAAGGGGAAAAAGAGAUUUGAAAGAGAGAACUAUUGGAGAGCUCAAAAACCAAGCAAUGCCUUCUUCUUCUUCUCCGGGCGAGCAACAACAGUAGAUCUCUCUUCCUUCUUCCUUGCUUGGUUUCACCUUCACUGUGAGAUCGACAUGAAAAGCACAUCCAUAGAACUCCAUUAAAGCCAGCUCUUCUCCUCCAAAAAAACCAACAUAUAUCACCCCAAACUUCAGCUCUAAAACCCGGCAAAACCUGCCAUGAAACAGCUCGAGUUUAGCUCCUAAAACAGUUCAAAGAAGCAGUGAAAAUACCGCUGCUUCAUGCGACGAAAAAUACAGCAGCUGCCGCUCAUCUUCUCCUUCAAAAAACCGACCUCAAACCACCUGUAAACCAACCAAAAAUACAAACUCAACAGUUGGCUUCCACCACUGUUAAAACGCAGUCGAAGUUUGAGCUCUGAAAGUCCGUUCUAGUUAGAAGUUUUCCGGUUGAGGUCCUGUUUGUGUUUCCGGUUCUGAUGCUGUUGUUCGGUUUCUGUUUUCUUAGCUCAAUGGUUAUUUCUAUUGUACAAAGCUUGGCUUGGAUUUCUCUUUAUUAAUACAUUAAACAUGAUUUUCCACCGGUGAAGGUCCGUUCCCUUUUAUCUUGUCAUUCUAUUAAGUUGUCAUCAAUAUGCUGCAAUAGAAGAACAUGAAUCCGUAGUCCUUACUGCUUUAUUUUCAUUAUUUAGUUUUGUCUUAUUAUCUAUCUUUCUUAGUUAUGUUAUUUACUUUGCAUAUAAUCUAUUUGUUUAAAGUGCUCAAUGGUGAAUCUUUUUUUUAUUUAUUAUUUUCUUUCUUUUUUUUUUUUGGUUUAGUCCUGAUUUGUGAAAUAUUAGUUUAAUUUGUAUCAUGUCAUUCUUGUGUUGUAGAUUAGAGGUAUGCUUAGAAAUUUAGAAUAAUAUGACAUGGGUUUGAUGAAAUGAGCCACAGGUAAAUGGGUUUAACGUUGGGCCGUCGGGUGGUUUUGAAACAUAGUAUUUGGACUUUGAUUUAAAACUAGGAAGAUUUGGACCCUAUAACAAGGUGUUGGGCUUCAGUUGUUGGGCCGUGGAAUAGUUAUAAUUUGUCACUUGCUAAUAAUAGUUAAAUCAUACAUUUCUUCCACAAUGCCCAUUCCAUAAAUUUGGCCUCACAAUCAAUCUCAAGUUAGUUUAGGAACAAUUAUGAACACUCGUUAGAUAUGUUUUAGGCGUGAUUAAUAAUAAAUCAUCGUGACUAUGGGUACGGUUUCCGUGGCAUAGUCAUGAUACGCAACCCCAAUUCGAGUAUGCGUUUCACGUGACUCGACCACAACUUCAAAUAAUAAUAAAAAUAAGCAUGUUGUAAAUCGCGGGUGCAUUUCAUGUGGCGCGGUUUGCGGUAUGUGUCAAAACGACAAGUGUACGACAUCGUGACUUGUUCUAGAAAUAAUUUCAUAAAUAAUUAAAAGCGGUUAAAAAGUAAAAAUGCACAAUAGGCUUUAAAUAUGUAAUAAAUCAGACAAUUAGGCCAAGUAUUGAUUGUUAAGCGACCGUGCUAAAACCACGGAACUCGGGAGUGCUUCACACCUUCUCCCGGGUUAACAGAAUUCCUUACCCGGUCUUCUGUGUUCGCGGACCAUAAAAUAGAGUCAAUUUCCUCGAUUUGGGAUUUAAAAUAUAUCGGUGACUUGGGACACCAUAAAUUAUUCCAAGUGGCGACUCUGAAAUAAAUAAAUAAUCCUAUUUCGAUUAAUGUCACUUAAAUUGGAAAAACUCCCUUAUCCCUUAUCGCUCCAUCGGGAAAAAGGAAGUGUGACACCUAAAAUAUUAGCCGCCUAUUAUGCCUUCAAUAAUUAAAUUAUAUCUUAAGUGUUAAUGCCUAAAAACGUAAAAGCAAUUCAAAUAUUAUAGAGUCCAAGUCAACAUGACAUUCUUAGAGUCAUAUUAGUAAAGGAAACGUAUUCGUUCAUUCAUUAUAUGAAUGGAAAGCAAUUCAAAUAUUAUUGAAUGUGUGUCUUUGUCGGUGAAGAUUAGAUUUUGGAGACUUGGAGUUUAUUUGUGGAAUUUCUGAGUUUUAAAUAUAUUAGAUGUUUUACUAUUUUUAUAGUUAAAUGCCAGUUUUUGAUUUUCCUAUUUCGUGUUGAAAGAUUAGAUGAAAGUGUUAAGUUUAGAUCACCCAGAGAAGAGUAGCAGUUAUGGUAACUUUAACAGUAGCAGAUGCAAUUAGCAGAUUCUGAAAAGGUUUUAAUUCAUUAUGAUGCAUUACAGAUUUUGAUUUAUACAAAUUGCCUCGUGAGAUUGAAAUAAAGUGCAUUGCAUGGAAUUACAAUAUUUAUAUGGUUCAGAAUCUAUAAAUUUCAAUAUAAGAUUUGUAAUAAACAAUAUAGAUGUUAUUUAUCAUAUCUUAAUCUAAACAAAUAUGAAUCCCAUAUACCUGUAUCAUUAAAUAUUAAGUAAUUACAUGGUGUGACCAUAAAUUUUGAAUAUACCUAUUCCAUAAGUGUUUGUUGCAUUCUUGAAGUGAUUUUAAAUCUUUUAACAUACUCUCGAAAUGUUCAGUUCCAAUUUGUCUUUAAAUUAUGUCAAAACUUUAUUAAUAAGUUGGUUUCGAUUAUAUAAUAUUCUUUUUUAAGGAAUUGAUUAUUGAACUGUAAAAUACAUAUUCAGUUAACAAGUGCUUUAAAAUACUUAUCGCGAUAGAAAGUUUAUUAUUUUGGUACGCGUUUUGUAAUAUUUGACACGUGAUAUUUAAUAGCUAUAACUUUUGUAUAAUAUGAUUUCUUUUUGUAUAACAAAACAAAUGUGUUUUGAAUGUGUGGCUAAGAAAUCUCAAACUUUUUGACAUAAAAAUAUGUAGUAAUUGAAACGGAAUAAUGUCCAAUGCAAAAAGAAAAGAAAAAAUUAUUAUGGAAGGCAUUGUCACGCCUCGAAACUGGGAUGGGACGUGAUGACUCUCAACCUACCUCACCUGUUGAGAGAACCCUAUUCUAGUUGGCUAAUAAUUACUUAUGCACUAAGCAUGUCACAAGUUAUUGAUAAAGUCUAUAAACACAAUUGUUGGAAGGAAAUUGAAUCACGAAUCAAAUGAUAAAUAUCUACGUAACUAAAUCCACUAUCAAGUCAUGAACCUCUAUUGAAAGCUAAAUACAUAAAACUUUGGGACAUUCCCCUCGAAAAAUAUACAUAUCUAAAAUAAAUAAAAUCCUGAGAAAAGAUUUGCGACCGCUGGAGUGAAUCUACAUUGCACUACGAGUCUUGAAAGCUUGCCCUCUAGUCAUGGACUUUAUUACAUGUGCACUCAACGCCUGUCACAUGAUAUGGAAGGUCCAAACGGGCUAAUUAGUACCUCCAAGGAUACCUAGAAAGUCUCAUUGAUAACCCCCUAAGCGGAGGACAAGACUAGCAUGGGCUAUAUACAUAUAUAAUAAAGUGCUGCAAGUAGAACAGACGUUUCACACAACAUAACUGAAUAAUCUAAAAGCUGAAAUUAAUUCUGCAAAUUGAAUAUAAACUGAUAACUUAAAGUCGGAGCUAAAACUGAGUCUUUAUCUGAUAAUUAAAACUAAAACUGAAAUCUAAGUCAAAAACUGAUAUUUAAAACUGAAGUUAAAAACUGAGUUAAUUUUCAAGAAAUAACUUUUUAAAAAGCAUUGCACAUAAUGGCUCUUCGUACGAUGAGCAUCUAGGAAUACGCACGGGAAGUAUCGACCUAUCUCUCUAAUAAACAAUAGUCCCUACGAGCGUGAGGUAGCUAACCCUGGCCCUUGCGGCACUCACGCAAGGCAAGGGGAGGUCGGCUAGCUCUUCCUUCUGAAUGUGAUCACAUUAAUCUGACUAAGUCUGAGCAAUACAAACAAAUUGCACACAAGCAAAUAACUACAACACAUCCUACAAUUUAAUUAGUUUAUGUCAUAAGGGUUAACAAAUAUAAAUAUAGUUUAUUCUGAAAAUAAAUGCAAGCAAACAUAUAAUUUAAAAUGCACAUUCUAUCUAGCCAUCGACAAAGGAAAGAAAACUUAACUCACCACGAGUUUUGAGCGUAGCUUCAACUUCUCGUGUCGUUUGGGCUAAUCAAAUUACCAUUCACACUUCACCUUGAAUAAUCUGAUUUGUAGCCUCACUUGAUUUGCAAAGACUUGCAUUAUUUAAGUCCUUUAAAGCCUUUGGAGGAUUUAGAUGUAUUUCACCCAAGACAUCUUGUGAAUUGCUACUGUAUGAACAUCUUUUCACUAUCCCUCAACUCUGCUUCAAGUAUUUUCGUCAUUUAAAUCCAAAAUACUUCAUCUUAAAUUUCACUUCUAGGUAUCCAAAUCUCAAGGAAUAACCGAAAUUGCAGAGAGAGGACAUGAGUUACCCUUUAGAAACAAUUAAAGGUAGUUUAUGGAUUUGGGAUGGUUUGACACUUGAUCACUGAUGCCUUGCAGAACUUCACUGGAACAAACG